RNAcentral lists this ribosomal RNA (840 nucleotides) under uncultured archaeon. RNAcentral's name for it is "bacterial SSU rRNA". It matches the Rfam family "Archaeal small subunit ribosomal RNA", at positions 1 to 848 of the family's 1478-position model. The record is from RNAcentral.
UUCCGGUUGAUCCUGCCGGACCUGACUGCUAUCGGAUUGAUACUAAGCCAUGCGAGUCAUUGUAGUAAUACAAGGCAGACGGCUCAGUAACGCGUAGUCAACCUAACCUAUGGACGGGAAUAACCUCGGGAAACUGAGUAUAAUGCCCGAUAGAACAUUAUGCCUGGAAUGGUUUAUGUUCCAAAUGAUUUAUCGCCGUAGGAUGGGACUGCGGCCUAUCAGUUUGUUGGUGAGGUAAUGGCCCACCAAGACUAUUACAGGUACGGGCUCUGAGAGGAGUAGCCCGGAGAUGGGUACUGAGACACGGACCCAGGCCCUAUGGGGCGCAGCAGGCGAGAAAACUUUGCAAUGUGCGAAAGCACGGCAAGGUUAAUCCGAGUGGUUUCUGCUAAAGGAACCUUUUGUCGAUCCUAGAAACACCGAUGAAUAAGGGGUGGGCAAGUUCUGGUGUCAGCCGCCGCGGUAAAACCAGCACCUCAAGUGGUCAGGAUGAUUAUUGGGCCUAAAGCAUCCGUAGCCGGCUCUGUAAGUUUUCGGUUAAAUCUGUACGCUCAACGUACAGGCUGCCGGGAAUACUGCAGAGCUAGGGAGUGGGAGAGGUAGACGGUACUCGGUAGGAAGGGGUAAAAUCCUUUGAUCUAUUGAUGACCACCUGUGGCGAAGGCGGUCUACCAGAACACGUCCGACGGUGAGGGAUGAAAGCUGGGGGAGCAAACCGGAUUAGAUACCCGGGUAGUCCCAGCUGUAAACUAUGCAAACUCAGUGAUGCAUUGGCUUGUGGCCAAUGCAGUGCUGCAGGGAAGCCGUUAAGUUUGCCGCCUGGGAAGUACGUACGCAAGU